Molecule: ribosomal RNA, 403 nt
Filed under: Fusobacteriota bacterium
Lineage: Bacteria; Fusobacteriati; Fusobacteriota
Description: Fusobacteria bacterium partial 16S ribosomal RNA
Rfam family: Bacterial small subunit ribosomal RNA
Source: RNAcentral
UGGGGAAUAUUGCACAAUGGAGGGAACUCUGAUGCAGCGACGCCGCGUGAACGAAGAAGGCCUUCGAGUCGUAAAGUUCUUUUAUACGGGAAGAUAAUGACGGUACCAUAAGAAAAAGCCCCGGCUAACUACGUGCCAGCAGCCGCGGUAAUACGUAGGGGGCUAGCGUUGUCCGGAAUCACUGGGCGUAAAGGGUUCGUAGGCGGAAAUGCAAGUCAGGUGUAAAAGGCAGUAGCUUAACUACUGUAAGCAUUUGAAACUGCAUAUCUUGAGAAGAGUAGAGGUAAGUGGAAUUUUUAGUGUAGCGGUGAAAUGCGUAGAUAUUAAAAAGAAUACCGGUGGCGAAGGCGACUUACUGGGCUCAUUCUGACGCUGAGGAACGAAAGCGUGGGUAGCAAACAGG